This 228-nucleotide ribosomal RNA is filed under the name uncultured bacterium. Its description in RNAcentral is "partial 16S ribosomal RNA". It matches the Rfam family "Bacterial small subunit ribosomal RNA", at positions 103 to 334 of the family's 1533-position model. The record is from RNAcentral.
CGGGUGAGUAAUGUAUGGGGAUCUGCCUGAUGGCGGGGGAUAACUACUGGAAACGGUAGCAAUACCGCAUAAUGUCUGCGGACCAAAGCGGGGGACCGUCCGGGCCUCGCGCCAUCAGAUGAACCCAUAUGGGAUUAGCUUGUAGGUAAGGUAACGGCUUACCUAGGCGACGAUCCCUAGCUGGUCUGAGAGGAUGAUCAGCCACACUGGGACUGAGACACGGCCCAG